CUUUCAUGGUGGUGCAAUUGGUAGCAGUGUUGCCUUGCAGCAUGAAGGUCCUGGGUUCGACUCCCGGCCGGGAGU
This is a non-coding RNA of Characodon lateralis, 75 nucleotides long. The record is from the annotation of a GenBank genome assembly. NCBI's taxonomy places the organism in Eukaryota, Metazoa, Chordata, Actinopteri, Cyprinodontiformes, Goodeidae.